CCUCGAUCCCAGGCCGAGUUUUCGCUUUUAUAACAGUUAGGCGAACAACUGGGCCUGGUACUAGUUGUCUGCACAUGUGUCAGUCGUUCGUCAGAUUCUGACGAAUGGAUAUUCUCGUUCACUUUCGUGACAUUUAUAUUCGUGUACUAUCGUGUACUAGAAGUCAGUUCCCGUUUUAUCAUUAUUGGAAUCGAUUGGAAUGGCUCUUAGCUGAAGCUUCUCUCUUCUCUGAAGCUUAUUCUGAAGACUGAACAACAAGGGAAGAGGUAUAAAGCUUUGUCAAGCUUGUUAAGGUCAGAUAUUUUUGUGUGGGCCCUAUGGCCGGCUAUGCUAUCAAGUCUUGUUCAUGUUUGGCAAGAAUGUAGGUAGACUAUAGUUUCAUCAUUAAUAUGGUGGAUCAAGUGAAGAGUGUGAGCUAGAGAACUUGGUGCUGCCAUCAUCAGCUCGUCGACAAUGACACUAUAACCGAGAAAUUUAAUAUGUAUAGAUCUACACGUAUUUAAAAUGUCUACUUCUCUGUACAGGAGCAAUGGCUAAUAUCCAGCUAUCCCAACAGUGCUCCUCUUGGCUAUACUAACGGACGAGACUGGACAGUUUGAGACACAGGACUGGAGUAUGACCUGCUCAUUCGAGCGUUGCUGGGUAGCUCAGAGACAUCAAGCAUCAAGAGAAUCUACGUUUUCUCAAGCAAUGAGUUACGAGUUGGGGCCUAGAAUCAGAGAAGUCCAGCAGCCUGCUAAAUCUUUUUGAAACGUAAUUUUAAGGCAUUCAAUCAUCCUGAAGUUGCCCUGGGUCACUGUAAUUGUGCUGCAGCACAACUGGCAACUCCCCAGGCCUUUGUGAAGCAGCUCCCUAUGUGCAUCUUUUGUGUACUCACUCUGUGCAUUUUCUGUGUACAAAUUUCGAUUAUUGAUUUAUUAAAUAUUUUUGCCGACCACAAA
Molecule: long non-coding RNA, 941 nt
Organism: Halichondria panicea
Lineage: Eukaryota; Metazoa; Porifera; Demospongiae; Suberitida; Halichondriidae
Exons: 2
Source: RefSeq, a predicted model, not a curated record